RNAcentral lists this ribosomal RNA (499 nucleotides) under uncultured bacterium. RNAcentral describes it as "bacterial SSU rRNA". It matches the Rfam family "Bacterial small subunit ribosomal RNA", at positions 30 to 504 of the family's 1533-position model. The record is from RNAcentral.
CGAACGUUGGCGGCGUGGCUUAGGCAUGCAAGUCGAACGAGAAAGUUCCCUUCGGGGAAUGAUUAGAGUGGCAAAAGGGUGAGUAAUGACUAGUUAAUCUACCCCUGGAUCUGGGAUAACUUUUCGAAAGGGAAGCUAAUACCGGAUGGUCUCGGUUUAUCAUAAGGUUUACCGAGUAAAGGCGGCAUCUUCGGGUGCUGUUGUCGAGGGAGGAGACUAGUUCCUAUUAGUUAGUUGGUGAGGUAACGGCUCACCAAGGCAAUGAUGGGUAGCCGAUCUGAGAGGAUGACCGGUCACACUGGGACUGAGACACUGCCCAGACUCCUACGGGAGGCUGCAGUCGCGAAUAUUCCGCAAUGGACGAAAGUCUGACGGAGCGACGCCGCGUGUGGGAUGAAGGCCUUCGGGUUGUAAACCACUGUCACGGUUUAUGAAUUGGUGAAAGGAAUAAUACCCUUUCAUUUUGACAAAGGACCGAGAGGAAGUCACGGCUAACUAC